GACGAACGCUGGCGGCGUGCCUAACACAUGCAAGUCAACUUGACUGAAGGAGCAAUCUGACAGUAGAGUGGCGCAAGGGUGCGUAACGCGUAAGUAACUUGCCCAAGGUAAGGAAUAACGUCGAGAAAUCGGCGCUAAUACCUCAUAAUGCAGCGGAUCCGCAUGGAUAUGUUGUUAAAGGUUUACCGCCUUGGGAUAGGCUUGCGUCUGAUUAGUUAGUUGGUGUGGUAACGGCAACACCAAGGCUACGAUCAGUAACUGGUCUGAGAGGAUGAUCAGUCACACUGGAACUGAGACACGGUCCAGACUCCUCCGGGAGGCAGCAGUGAGGAAUAUUGGGCAAUGCUCGAAAGAGUGACCCAGCAACGCCGCGUGGAGGAUGAAGGUAUUCUA
This 393-nucleotide ribosomal RNA is filed under the name uncultured bacterium. RNAcentral's name for it is "bacterial SSU rRNA". It matches the Rfam family "Bacterial small subunit ribosomal RNA", at positions 28 to 422 of the family's 1533-position model. The record is from RNAcentral.